Molecule: long non-coding RNA, 5503 nt
Filed under: Ooceraea biroi (clonal raider ant)
Lineage: Eukaryota; Metazoa; Arthropoda; Insecta; Hymenoptera; Formicidae
Description: uncharacterized LOC113562490
Source: RNAcentral
ACCGGCAGUCUUGCGCGGGCUGUCGUUCGCGACGCAUGCAGUUCCGCGUUCGUUCGCACGUUUGCCCGUUCGUUUGUCCGUUCUCUACCGCCGAUCAUACGAUCGCUAUUGUAAAACGAGCACCACGCGAUUCUCGAUCCGACGAUGAUCAACUGCAUCUUCUUCGUGGUGUCAAGCGAGCAGCUGCGGUUCUGAUCGAGGGCAGCCGGAAGGAGAGCGCAACGGACGGAAAAAUGGAUUCUCACGACGGUAGCGCGAGGUUCCCCCUUCGCGAACCGCCGCUAGAUUUACGUGGGACGCCACGAGCCAUAAUCACGGCAGGUGGGUAGAACCGAACAGGUAUUUGGAGCGCAUAGCCAUGCAGCACCGAUGCUGCAGUGCGCGUAAAAACGUUAGCGAGCGAGCGAGCUGUCGAACGAGUCGACGCGCGAGUUUGCGCAACGGCAAGUAUCUAGCAAAUGAAAUUAACGACGAUUAGGUCAGAAGGUCACCUACUUAGUGUAGACCAGGGUCACGCGGCGACCAGAUCAGAAGUUACAUCACGUGUCUUCACUGUGCGUGACAUGCAGGGCGUUUGCAUAGCUCGUAAAUACGAUCCCACCACCCAUAUUAAGCUGGACCCCCCACCAACCCCAAAACAAUUCGGACCUAUCAGAAAAUUUGGUGCUAAUUAUGUGCUAAUUAGUUGCUCUAUUCCCGAUUUUGUUGCUCGAACCGUUUUGCAGGAAAUUGCAAUCAAAAUGGGGGGGGGGGUCCAGCUUAAUGUUAAGCUGGACCCCCCCAUACUGAAAAAUCUAUAUAGAGUGCCGGAAUCGAAAAAACAACUACACUGGAAUUUGUUGUUAUUUUGUUGCUCUAAGAUAGUAUAAAUUAAUUAUAAAAAUGGUUAUGCGUGUUUUCCGCAUUAUACCUUGUUCAAGAAUUGUUAAGAUUCCGUUGGUUCAUCGAGUUCGAUCAGAAGACAAAUUAUAGUGAAUUGCUUGAGAAUUUAUUGAGGUAUUCUUGUUUCUAAGAAGUUGCAAAAGAUCAAAACUUUUGAGAUAUAAAGUUCGUUUGUUGCUGUAAACUUAAGAACUUUCUCGGACCGAUUCCGCAUAAACGCGGCGAAUUCUCCUAAUACUCAUCAGCGACGAUUAAAUGACGCGUCAUCGGUCAUCUCGGAAGGCAAUUCGCUUGAAGAUGACGGAAGCAUUGCUCUUGGUGGAGCGCUACUGUAAUUUAUUGGAAUGCGGGUACAUUUCGACAAAUGCGUCUCGGCAAAAGAUAAUGUAUAAAACUCUUUUACAAAACGUAGAAACAAAUAAAUUUUAUACACGCACUAUUAUACACGGAUUUAUGAAUAAGAGAUAGAUCUUUAAAGUAUUUUUUAAAGUUACGAUAACAUUUUAUUAGAGAAAUCCUAGUAUGUAUAGGAAUGUAAUUUACACCUCUGUAUAGCUUUUCUCUCACGAAUAGAAUAGCCAGUUGACAGAAUAGUCUAUUUUUCCUUGCAAAAUACUUCAUCUGUCUGAAAGAGCAUUUCUCCCUUCCCGCUGAUUCCGACGCAUCUUAUCUUCACGAACUAAUUGCCAGCGAGACGUACCGCGAUUGGGAUCAGACGUUCGUUGAAUGUAGUAGCAUGAUAAAACUCAGUGAUGGAGAGUGCGAAAAGGACCCGCUGGGAGGAGGGGAUUACGUUAUAAGACGGAGAGAAAAAGAGAGAAAGAGAGAGGGGUCAGUCGCGGAAUAAGAUCGAGAGGAUUGGUGGCGGAAUGGAGCGGAAUAGCAUGGCAUGGCAUGGGACGCGGUCAGUUCGCAUUGAAUCGCCGAAUUGGACGCAUCUCGUCGGACGAUCCUCGGCGGCGUCUCUCGCUCGCCCGGAGAAAACUGAUCAUCGUGGCGAUUUGUCGUGCGGAUUUUCUUUUUGCCGAUUCCAAAUCUCGUCUUCUCUUCGAACACGGACGGCGCCGCGCUCGCAGGAGGCGAAAAUUGGAUACCUAUGUGCAGGUGCGCCCCUCGCGAUUCUUCUCACGUCAACCUUCGCGACUUGCAUGUCGACGACGUGUAUUCUGUUGAACUUUUGACAAUCUCUCGCCGGAAUCGCGACCAGUUACCCUUUCUUGAUGAUGAUUUUCUUGAGGCGGCGAUACGCGUGUACCUUGUGUGUUCGUGACAAAAACGAGCGGGAACCGUGUCGAGUCCGGCGAUUCCGACGAGAGACAUAAUUGGAUUAAGACCCGCAUGGUAGCGACAAAAAUAUCAAAUGCUAGAGCUUCCGCGCUUCUGCUGCUGUAAUAAAAUUCAAUUAGACACAAUAUAUAGUGCUUAUAAUUCGUCAUGAUUGUAAUUUUCUUGAGAGACUUAGGAUUAUAUUGAAAGGCUUCAGAAUGCAUCGCAAUGAAGGAUGAUAUUUUACUUAUUUUACUAAAUACCAACAAUAAUUUACGCUUGUCUGGAAUUGAUUCUUAUAGAAAUUGAAAAUAUUGAAUUGUAACAUAUAUUCUUAUUUAAAAACACUAAGCAAACGGGAGAAACAUGUGUCACAACAAUAUUUCGAAUUACCGCAAAUGUCGAUGAUCUUGCGACUUACUUGUCGCGCUCGAACAGUUUUGUCAUUCUCCUUAUGAUUUUCUGCAGAAUGCAUGUAACGGUACAAGUGUAACACCGUGGCAAAGAGGAAACGAAUGCUCAUCUGUGUCGAAACAAAGCAUGCUUAAAUUCAAUCUCGCGUGCGUUCCAGUAAAUCCGUUAAGCGAACCCAUUUCCUUGGGAAACGAUCUUUACGCUUACGCUUAUAAGCAAUCAUCAAUAUUUAAUACUAAAUAUAAAAAAAUAUUUAAUCAAGCUAUUAAAAGAGUUUAAUUAUAAACUUAUCUUAAAUAUAAAAAUUAUAAAUUAUAACGAAAACAAACGCGAAUAAAAUUUGAAAUAAUUUCUAUGAAACAGAAACGACUAUCUUAUCACUUUAAUUAAUUAAAAAAGAACAAUUAUCCUAUCGAGUUAACUAUUUUGGAAUGAUGCUCAACUCGUUAUAACUGAAUAUAACAAUUUGUCCAUUUUGGCAAACAUUCUAACGCUGCGGCUAAAAAUUGGCUGUUUCAAUUUCUGUAAAAAUUUCAUCGAGUUCUCGGACAUCGCGCACAGGCUGUCUCUCCAUACAUAGCCACGCGACCUGGUCGUCGUGCUGAUCGUCGUCGCGUGUCAUCGCACGGCACGUGCCGAUGCACUCGCGCAACGACGACGACGACGAUAAUGACAACGAUGACGAUGAUCUGUCCACAAAGUUCGACGAACCUCGCGCAUCUUUCUUCAUGAAAAGCAAAAUGCAAUGAGAUCCACUCCGAUCGUGCUCGAUCGCGUCGCCCGCGAUCUGAACAAACGCGCACCUGUCCGCGCGAGCCAAUUUUACGAGCGGCCGAGCGAAGGCAGAUCACUGUCGAAGAUAGGCUAGAUAUAAUAAAGGUUGGCGAUCCGUUUGAACGAGCGCGAGAAGCGCGGCUCGCGGGUUCGCGGCGCGUGUGGGCUGUGCGGUUCUAAAGCUAUCUCCACACUGCCCAUGAAAAGUUCCGAUAGAGUAAAAGAUAUGUAAUUGAAAAUAUAUUAUGUAAUACUAGUGUAGUGUAUGCCAGAAAUAUAUGAACUAUUUUUAUGCGAUCCGUAUGAUCAAAUAUUUAAAAUCUCAAUUAUUUUCAUAGAAUGAAUUGAGUUAAAAUUUGAUCACUGAAAAUAUUUAAGUAGAAACGCGUUCAGGGAGAAGGACACUGUUAAACGUCAAGUUUUUGUUUUCGUUAUUUAAUGUGUUACUACUUUUAAUAACGCGAUUACACGCGAAAGUAAAUUUAGAUUUACAUUUUAUCUUUCAUUAUAAGUUUCGCAUUUCAUUUCUAUUCUCUAAUAAAAAUAUACGCUUAAUGUACUGCGGAAUGAACUCGGAUUCGAAGAGCGAUCGAAAAGAGUUAUUGCUGUUAUGCGCGCGAGUUUACCUGUGCGAUGUGAAGCCAGUGUAACACGCGGCUCGCUGUUAUUGACGCUGCAUUUGCUGCCGCUGUGCACCGGCGAAGUGUAGGCAAAGUGUAGGCAAAAGACCUAUCACCGCCACACCCUGCGGCUAAAAGCGAAAAGCGGAGAACGACGGCAACGACGAUGGCGAGGACGAUGACGACAACUCGCCGCGCCGCUGAUAACGCGAGCAAUAACGAUCAGCCCGAUGCAUCUCCGGCAAUCUCGCUCGAUGUAGCGCGGAUUGCCUUUUUAGCGCGCCAUCGGUGAAAUUGGUAUGCGAUUGCUUAAUACACGCGCACGCACACACGCACGCCCGCGUAUAACAUAGUAAUAGUUUCAAGGCAACUUCCUUGGACCGUUGAACCCGUGAAUUCUAGGACACAUUCAGGUUCAAAACGUUUUUGCUUGGAGACUUUGAUCCCUUGAAAAUCUCGGAUUUUUAAGUAGUUUUUUAUGUUCCAACAUCUUGAAUUUUGACGUCCUUAUCUUCCCAUUUUAGUAUUUUUCACAUUUUUUCAUUCCCAACUUCUCUCAAAUUCUUAUACUUGAGAUUAUCAGAGUUUUGAAGUUAAGUUCUGAUAUCUCGGUUUUUUAUAUGAGUUAAAUCUUUAAUAAAUUUUUAAUUUCUUCAUUUAAAAUCUUAGCGUUUCAGGUAUCCUCUUUUAUAUGUGAAAUUUUUAAAUCCUUACUUUAUAUUAAUCUCUCUGGAAUAAAAAUGUAACAUUAAUUGUUGGACGAUAAAUGUUAAUGUGUACUGAAACAUUGAGAGGACAUUGAUGGCCACGCGUUAGCGAUUACGGUUCUUCCCUCUAACGCGCGAAGACGAUGGGAGAGAAAGAGAGAGAGAGACAGAAAGAGAUAUUGCAAUUAGUAUAAUUUUGGCGUAACGCCUGAUUGCGACGUUACGGUGUGCCAUGAACGACCGUAAAAUGUGCGGCGCGCGUCCAGCGUCGUAAAUAUCGGCGAAACACGAAAAUACACCGGCUCGUCCCGUUAUCGUUGCCGCGGCGCAUCGCAAAGCGGUAUCCUUUAUGCACUUUCGCGCGGCCGAUCGGUCGUCGCGCGACGCCGCACCCGAUAUCUCCAUCAAUUUUUACAGCAAUUGCGAAUGGAUCAUCGGCAGCCAAUGAUCCAUUCCGUAGGAAUUCCAAUUCCCGCGUCCGUGUCGUCGAGAGAAACACGCGACGCGAUCUUCACUAAGUAGGCAGGCAAGACGUGCGUGAGCACGUAUACUGGGUGUCGCAUGAUGCACAAGAAGCUAUUAAUGAAAAUUCGGGGAUUCCUAAAAUGAUCCAUUUAGAAAACAUAUAAAGAUAAAUAGUCUAGAGAAAGGCUGAAGUUUUUACCUGGAUAUAAUUAAAGAGAGACCAGCAAUUUAGAAUCACAAAAGAAUUUAAUAAUAAUUAUUUUAGAAAGAUCUUUUUAUGCAUAUGUCUCAUAGGUAUUUAUUCCCAAAAUGCCAUCGAGUAUGCGCGCUGUAUGCGUUACAGAAAGAUCGAGCCUUCAAUCGAAAUCCAAGAAA